CAGAAGUGAGCGCGUAGAAGAAGAAGAACAACUUUAUUGUAGAAUAAAACGCUCAAUGGGUGGAGCCCCUAGACAAGGGCCCCACUGGCUUCCGCGCGCCGUCUUGCUUGUCGGAUGAUGGCCCUUUGGACCUCUUUCUUUGAGCUGGACAGCGCCGCCUCCCAUUGUGUAUGCUCCGCAAUUUCUGUGUUUGUCUUUUGUGGAUAUGCCGUGCAUGCCCACGAGAUGUGGUCUAAGGUUGACGUGGCUCCGCACCAUGGGCAUGUGUCCGUAUAUCUUUCCGGAUGAAUUUUAUGGAGAAUGUGCAGCUUUCUCCAUAUAACCUGUUCUUCCUUAGUGAGAUUCUUAUCUGGGGGUGGUAGCUUCAUUCUAUUUCCUCUGUGAUAGUUUAAAAUUGCAGAGUAGUUCUGGUCAAUCGGGAUCGGGUCGUCAGAGGCUUCCUGUGAGCACCCGUGGGGUGUAGCAUGUGCACGGGCUACUCUGUCAGCCUCUUCGUUUCCCCUGAUUCCCUCAUGACCGGGUAUCCAUAAAAGGUGAAAUCUGGCUCGGGGUUUUAUAUCUUGCAUAAUCCUAUAGGCUGCGGUGCAUACUCGUCCCCUGAGGUAGCUUCUGCAUGCCGCUUGAGAGUCUGAUAGGAUGGUUAUUUGUUGUUGGUUUGGUUUUGUCGCUUUGAUAGCAAGGGCUAUUGCGAUUUCUUCUGCUUCCACGAUAGUGGUGUUGUGAGUGGAGGCGCUGAUGAUUUCUCUGCCCAUGUAGUCAGUGACAGCAGCUACCGUUCUUUUCUGCCUGCCUGGGUAUCUUGCCGCGUCCACGAAGCAGGAGUUUGGUUUGUCGCCGUGCGUUUUUUCAAUGUAUGCAGCUCUGGCUUCUCUUCUGCCUGCAUGUAGAGUUGGGUCCAUAUUUAUGGGUAUUGGCACCACUUUGAUGCAGUUUCUGAUUAUUGUGGGGAUGGGCUUAGUUUGGUUGUGUUUUUCAAGGAGCUCGUGAUACUUGAGUCUGCCAAGGAGUUUCCUACCCGUGGUCGUUUGUGCGAGUCUGUUUCUUUGAGUUAUCAGCUGAGCGUCUGCCAGUUCCUCGAAUGUAUUAUGAAUUCCUAGAGACAUGAGUUUUUCGGUUGGGGCGCACUGCGAAAUUUGUAGGGCGAUCUUGUAGGCUUUCCUUAAGCACGAAUUGAUCGCAUCCCUCUCUGUUUUCGUUAGCUGGUAAUACGGCAAGCUGUAAAUGAAGCGGCUAACCACCAGACUUCUUAUUAGGCAAAGGGUGUUCUUAUCCUUCAUCCCCGUCCUUUUCAUGGCUACCCGCUUUAUCAUUCUCGCGACUUGUUGUGUUGCCGUCUUGAUGAGGUUAAACUGUCCCCCUCAAAGGCGGGUUGGUUACGAUGACUUUGGACGCUCCGAAUUGGUCGGCGGUGAACUGCUGUGUUCCGUCACCUAGGGAUUUCAGGAGGACAGUGUAUUUAAGGAACUGUUGGCAGCUCUUCAGGGUGCAUUUCUUUUUCAGUCAUGUUAGACUGAUGAACUGUAACAUUCUCAUGCAGAUACUGUAAAUAAAUCCCAGAUUCCUUGUUCUUGAUGAGAACAAGUCUCUCCCUUCAACAACGUCCUCAGUAUGGAUAAGUUUGAUGACCGCAUGGGCCAGCUACCAUCUAUUUCAUGCCCGACUCCAACCAUUACACCUGUCACUGCACUCAUCGAUGCAGGAGCACAUCUUUCUAUUAUAAGUGCUGCCUUCCGAUGACGACUGAAAAAGCACUUCACCCCAGCGUCAGCACGCGUUGGUCGCGUUGCGGAUGGCGGUACUGUGCCUAUCAUCAGCAUAUGUACGGCAUGUGUCAGCAUCGCCGGCCGCCACACUCCUGUUUUCUUCACUGUAAUUGCUCAUUGCCCCAUGACCUAAUUCUCGGACUCGAUUUUCUCUCUGCGCAUCCUGCUCUUAUUGACUGCUCUGCCAGUACCCUUUGCCUUGAGGUGCCGAUUCUCGUAGAACCUUCUAACGCACCCCAGUGCCGCUUACACCCCACCUGCUUUAUUCGCCUGCCACCGAAGUCAACAGCCUAUACUGAAUUGUUGUGUUGCCCACCUGUUCCUGAUGGCGAGUACCUCGUCACUCCCCUGCCCAACAUUCCACUACAGUAUGACAUCACCGUGCCUCACAGCAUUCUGACUGUUACUGCUAACCAUACUCGCAUGCCUAUCUUUAACUUUGGAUUGGGAAAGCAAAUCCUACUGCAAGGUAUUUGCCUUGUCAACGUUGAUUGUCUCGGCAACCAUCACGUAGCAGCUUUAUCAACCGAUGGUUCUUCUGAGCUUAGCAGGCCCCUCGCACCAGCCUCGGGCACCGAUGCCAACAUAAAGAAAAUCGUUGCGGUGGACCUGUUCUCUGCGCAGGCUGACAGCCUUUGCAAAGUAUUAUCGUCCUACCGAGAUAUUUUUUACUUCAAACGAUCGCCCUUUAGGCCAGACGCUCGCGGUCCAGCAUUGGAUUUCUACUGGCGAUGCUACGCCUAUUCACCGAUGACCAUAUCAAGUUUCUGCAUCGGAACGCCGAGUAAUUCUAACUGAAGUGAACAAAAUGCUAGAUAAAAACAUCAUUAAGCUUUCUUCGAGUCCCUGGGCGUCACCUGUGGUUUUGGUUAAGAAGGACGGCACGUGGCGCUUCUGUGUGGACUACCGUCAGCUGAACAAAAUUACUAUAAAGGACGUCUACCCGCUCCCAAAUAUGCUCAAUCAGCUUAGUAAGUUUUAAAAAGUAGGGUACGCUGUUCACUCCAUAGAGAAAUGUUUUGCGUUCCUGGUUCAUUGGCCUUGAGACGAAAUUGACCUCACUGUACAGAACUAUAACAUGGUUGAACUUCAAAAGUUCCUCCCAUGAGAAUGCAAAGCUCUCCAGUAGGAUGGGUGCAGUUGUCUAAUGUGGCUAUCACUAAUAUUACCCACAGUCAAGAUUCUAUGGCACAUAUGUUUCUUUGACUAACAAGGCCAACUUAAAGCAAGAUGUGUGUUUUAACACCAUAGAUCAGCAGCACAUAAGCUCCACCUUAAAUGUGCUUGUUCACCUAAAUCUGCCUGCAUUUGGAAAGGUAGUGCAAACGUUAAAAUUAAAUUAAAUUGUGGGGUUUUACGUGCCAAAACCACUUUUGCCAAAACCACUCAACAUAUCAGACGGAUAUGUUGAGCUAACAAUGUGUACUGAUUGUAUAAGGCGAGCAAGCUGCAGAGAAUUGCUAAGCUUGAUGUGCAAACCUCAUUUCUCAGGCAAAUAAAUUGUGCAAUGUCUUGUUUUAUUAUUGAUGACUGCUCUGCCAGUCUGCCUGAGUUGUCAUUUUUUUGUAUUUAUCAUAAAGCAGACAAUUUCAUGUUUUUGUAGUUGUGUGACACAGAGUCAUUUGUUUCUUUACAGCUGUCGUCUUCUCGGAAGCAGGCACUGAUGCUUGGAGACCUGCAGAGCACAAACUGCAGCAUGUAUGCCGAAAUAAACAGCUGUUGCCUAUUUCAAAUAAAACCAAUGUCAGGUGUGGCGAGCCCGGGAGACAGCAAGAGCCGCAGGAGUCCUGGACUAAGGGCGCCUCCCACACAAGCAGAAAUACACCUGCUUUUCCUUUCUUUUCUUUAAUACAAUAGUUUACUUGACUUGGAGGCAGUUUUAUCUCGGGAGCUCCUAUAUGAAUACAUGGGAAAAGAGAAAUAGUUUUUCUCUGAAGCCAGCAAUGGAAUUCGAUGAGGUUGGUUACACGUUAAAAGAAACAAAAAAAAAAGCUGAAAUGUAGCCACUGUUUUAGGGGGCAAUGCUUUGUGGCAGGAAAUUUUGAAAAUUGUGAAAUUAAAAAGACUUUCGUAUAAAGUUUACAACUUGAUACAAAAGCUAUGACAUUGUAAACUUCGUGCUUAUAUUUUUUAAGCUUACUGACUCUCAGCAAUUUUUCCUAAAUAUUCAAGGUCCUAAAUCAAAAUUAUGCAGCCUAGAAUGACUAAAAUUUAACUUUUUCUCUCAAAUGCAACAAAUUUCAUUGAAAUUAUUCGGGUAGUUGUCUCAAAAGCAUUUCUGCAUUUUACAUGUAUUUGAAUAAAGAGAUUAGAGUUGGCACUGAACUAUAGCACCCUCCUCAAGGUAAGCACGUCAAUUCUGGCCGUAAGGCCAGUUAUCAGUCGACACUCUACACUAUAAAAGAGAAUUGCCUUUUUUUACACUUUUCCAGCAAUUCCAACUUAGUAGCAUGCUUCACUGAAUGCAGCUAGGAAGAAGGAAAUUUGACAAUAUUUAGUUUAUGUGCAGAAUUAAUGCAUUUGUAUGUCACUGAAUUUUGGCCUUCAUGAGCAUUCAUAUCCUUGAAUUUUUUUCAAUGUUGAAUCUAACAUUUGAAUCAAUUGAAUCAAAGCAGCCAUCAGGCCACCAAGCAACGUAAGGGCAAAUAAGAACUUCAUGUGGAAGCACUUAAAAGGUCUGUUCAAUUCACCUGCACAACUGUGAACCAGUUAACGGAGGUUCACAAGAAGUUCAGAAAUUGUGCAGCUUGUUUCUGCGGUGCAGGCACAGCGCAACACUCGAAACGAAUGGCAAGGUGCAGAUGCGGUGCAGGUGUUAUGUUAUGCCCAAUUAAUGUGCACAGAGUGCGUACAUUUGAAAGAUCGUGAACUACAAGUAUCAGCUUGUGGGCCUAACUACAAACCACACUUGUAGACACAUCAGACGUGCGUAAGCGGGCUUUUAAUGGCGCUUGCACCCAUGUGCUGGAUUUUCUGCUGCACUACUGCGUCGCACCUGUAUGCCUGUACCAAGUCGGCACUGACAGCGGAGUAGGUGCAGCAAAAUCAUGAACCAGCCCUGCACCUUUUGAAACGAACGGAGUGGUUCAGCGGGCGCCACUGGAACAAAUGGCUGGGUGCAACACGUCGAGAACUCGUUCAGGCGGUGCAGGCGAAUCGAACGCACCUAAAGUAAAGCACAUUGUGGGGCGCUAUAACAUAAAAUGAUUUCAAACUGUUUUGAUUCCAAUCUCCUGACAUCAAAUUUACGUAACCACCGGUGCAAGCAUUGGGCAGUGACCUGCAGCGUGGUCUGAACAACCCAAUCAAACACUCUCUUCGUUUAUAGGAGGUCACCUUUGUUCACUUUCAAAACCAAUAACAUUGCCUACAGACAGACAGACAGACAAUGAACUUUAUUUGAUCCUGAGGAGCUUCAGCGGAGGCCCCUAUCGGGGACCCGCGGAAGCCGCUGGCCGCGUCCAAGUCGGGGCAGAAACACCGUGAUGUUCCGCCCUUUCUCGGGCCCUCUGGAUUGCCUCUAGUUGUGUCUGGAGCGAUGGGCUCCGGAGUGCCUCUUCCCAGUCGGCUUCGCUGGAGAGAGGGCCGUUAGGUAACGCGGGGCAUUGCCAGAGCAUGUGCGCUAAGGAACAAUAGAUCUCAUUACAGUCCGGACAGCUCGAAUCGACGUCUCUGUAGAUACGGCUGAGAAAGCCCAGCGAAGGGAAUGAGCCCGUCUGGAGCAUUCUAAGUAAAACUGUCUGAGACCUGUCUAACUUCGGGUGAGGAAGAGGAUAGGCCCUUCUGCUAAGCCGAUAGUGAGAUGUUAUCUCGUGAAAAGUAAGGAGCGGAUCGUUCUGCUGGAUUUCAUCCUGUCCCCAUAAGGCCUCCAUGCCGCCGCGGCGUGUUAGAUCUCGCGCACGGUCAUGGGCAAGCUCGUUGAGGUUAGGUAUGUUCUGAUGAACGUCCGCACCCAUAUGGGCGGGAAACCAAGAGAUGAAGUGAGUGCCAGGGUUUGUUCUCUUUUCCAGAAUGGAGGCAGCCUCGUGGGCUAGGUUACCCGAUUCGAAAGCUUUGAUGGCCGCUCGUGAGUCGGUGAAAACGUUGGUGCGCGAGGGGUCGGUCAUGGCCAGGGCUAUGGCGACCUGUUCCGCGACUCCACUUGAAGCAAACCUAACCGACGCCGAGGAGCGUAAUUCCCCUUUGCCGUCAAUGAUUGCCAAAGCGAACGUGCUAGAGUUGCCGUACUGAGCCGCGUCGACAAAGACAGUCGAAUCCUGAUUCUCACUGGCCUUCUGUAAAAUCGCCCGUGCUCGGGCUUUUCGUUUCCCUACAUUGUAUUGCGGGUGCAUAUUCCGAGGGAAUGGGCUGACCACAAAGGUUGCCCGUGCCUCCCUGGAUAAGGUGAUUUUCCGUUCAUUGAGUAUUCUUGGAGCCAUGCCGGCCUCGUCUAGGAUGCGUCUCCCUGCCCUGGUUGACGAGAGCCUGACUACCUGAGCGGUGACCUGCGCUUUGAGUGCCUACACUCAGCGGUUUUUCUUAUCUAAUUGGCUGACAAGAGGCGAGGAGUACGGUCUAGUGGAGAGGGUUUGGAUGGGACUGAGCCAGCACAGUAAAAAUAGAUAACCACAUGAAGAGGGUGGUGCUGGCUUCUCCGAUUGGUCCGCUUCACCUUACUUGGCUUGCGGUGGCUGGUCGAAAAUCGCGGCGGCUUGCAACAGAAGGAUAAGAAUGCCGCUAAAACGGAUCCUCAGCAAGGAAGAGUUGGCAGAGCUGCAGAGUUGGCAGAGCUGUUAGAGAUGCUGUAUACAUGCCGCAAGGGCUCGAUAACGUUUUACUGUCAUGCAAAAAGGUUUAUCAUGUGAAAAUAAAUACAUGCUGACCGGCAGGUGCGAGUAGCGAGGGCCUGAGCGAUCGGCGGGCAGCCAUCUUCUAUUCCUUUCAGAACGGGGCAGUCUCUGGCUAUUCAGAAAAAGUUUCAGUUUUGUUUGGCAUAUUAAUGCAUUUUUUUUCGCGUACACGUCACUUUGAUGCAGUGAGUUUUUGCUGUUUUGUGAGGUCGCGUGACAGACAGGCGAGGUGGGUGUCGCCCAAAAACAUUAAACCAAUAGCAGAGGGCUAAUGGUGAAAAGGCGUUGAAUCAGGAAUAAUUAUUUUUCUUUUGUGCGGUUUAAUCAUUCAUUAUCAGUGUGUACAUGUAUAUCAGGUGGAGAGCCAUCACGGUUUUCGUGACGUCGCGUGACAGACGAGUGAAGUUUGGAGUGGCCUGAAAAAGUUUUGACCAAUCGUGGUGGGCUGAUUGCAGAAUUGGAAUAGAAAAGUUUGGAAUCAUUUUAUGUUAUAGCACCGCAGGAUUCUACAGGGGGUCAUAGAAUUAGACUUCCAUGCAGAUGGCCAACCUCGCAAGGUUCACACGGCUGACGUAAUGAAGUCAACCUAAGCUGAUCUCAACCUCCCAAAGUGAUGCAACAUUGGUUGGCUGUUAAAAUUUUUUAGCUAUGGCAGUGGCAACCUCAUGGACAAAUUUAAGGUUGAGUGAGGUCGAAUGCUCGGUGAGGUUAUAUUUCACAGCAGCUGAUGUGCACAUUUCCACCUCAUGAAUAAAUAUGUGGAAAGUUUUAUGAUUUUACUGAUAUGAAGGGGUAAUUAUUUAUUACAACAGAUCUGGAAGUGGGCUUCACCCCAAGCCACCUGAGGCUUUGUUUUCAAUUUGUAUAGACAGCUCUCAUCACAUAUGAAGCAUAGUUGUACAUUUCUUUUGCUGUACUUCAGAUGUGUGACACCACCGCAGUUGGAUAUCUUGCAUCGGCCUGUAUCCUCUGACCUUACUUUUAAAAGACAGUGAGUCACAUGCCAAACUUCUUCCUCGUCGAGUAUUCCUGCUCUAAACUAACAAAUGACAGUUGCUGCCUCUCAUUCAGUGUUGGCCAAAGACACCUAGCCAGAAUCUUGGUACUGAAUAAUGAAACUACGCAAGACAAACAUUCUUCUUCUGGUAUGUUGCCUGUAGGGAACAACUGUCAAUUAAGGGCUAAUGAGAAAUAAAUUAAAAACUGAAAUACAGUAGAACCUCGUUGAUACGAUCUUCACAGGAACUGGAAAAUAAAGUGUAUCAUAGGAAAAUCGUAUCAUCCAACAUAUUAUCCAACCAAAUUGGAUUUUCGGGAAAAGAAAAACAAAAUUUAACAUUUCGAAAAAUGUAUUAAGCAGAAUCGUAUCGAGGUUCCACUUUAUAAAAAGAAACGGCACUGAAAUUGGCUGUAGAAAAGUUAGUAAAUUACUAACUGCGCUCUGAAGCUUGUCACAAUUUUUUCUAGAGUUUAGAAGUCUAGGACCUUGAUUUAACGCAAGAAAUGAAUAGUCAAAAAUAUUGUUACGGUGAAGGGAAGGAAGAAGUUGGAUUAGACUAGACGAAGUCUGGCAGUUGCCUGAAUGCCAUUAACAUCAGUUGUAAAUAUACAUUAUUUUACACUUGUGGGCCUGCUUUUUUCCUGCAACAUUUCGGUGGAAGUGCUGGGUACAAUCACGGAACUUCGCAGCGGACGUCAUCUACCUGCCGCCACAAUGGCAAAUCAACCGGACGAUACCAACGCAGACUCGGACAUCAGUGUACUAUCCCUCUCCGGCUUCCUCCAUAUUGGCGAUGAGCAGCGGAAAGAUCCUGUUCUUCGAACACUUAUGGAACACCUAAGCUCCUCGCCCAAUGACCCAUCCCUCCGGAUGUUCACCUUGUGCGAUGGAACUUUAUACCGUUGCAGCGUUCGUCCAGACGGCCCGGAGCUCCUCCUAGUCGUUCCCAAGCACCUUCGACUCGCCUUGCUCCAGCAAGUUCACGACGCUCCUUCUGGCCCGGCAUUUAUCGCUCUGUGCGCCGUUAUGUCGCUUCUUGCGACCUGUGUCAGCGCCGAAAGACGCCUGCUAUGCCUCCUGCUGGUUUGCUGCAACCAAUUGAUAUCCCUAAAGAGCCCUUUUACUGGGUGGGCCUAGACCUCCUUGGCCCCUUUCCAAUUUCCAUCAAAGGGGAGUGGUGAGUGCUUAUGUAUACAUGAGACAGUUGCCUCGCUAGAGCCGCUCAUCAUCAUCAUCCAUCCCAAUACUUUCACUCCCCUUCCCUCUUCCCCAGUGCAGAGUAGCAGACUAGAGCGCACUAGCUCAGGUCGACCUCUCUGUCUUUCCAAUCAAUAAAUUCUAUUCUAUUCUAUAUUCCAUCAAAGGAAACAAAUGGAUUGCUGUAGCAACGAUUAUGCCACGAGAUAUGCCAUCGCACAAGCGCUACCAACCAGCUGCGCUACAGAUGUCGCCGACUUCUUACUAUACGACGUCGUCCUGCACCACGGCGCCCCUCACCAGUUGCUGAUGAAUCGUGGCCGCUACUUUCUAUCGAAGGUCGUCGACGAUCUGCUCCGCUCCUGUUCUACAGAACACCAGAGUGCUACCGCGUACCACGCUCAAAUGAACGGCCUCACCGAGCGACUCAAUCGCAAGCUAACUGAAAUGCUGGCCAUGUACGUUUCCGACGAUCACCGCGACUGGGACGUCGCUUUACCAUACAUCACUUUUGCAUACAACUCGUCCCGUCACGACACUGCCGGAUUUUCACCAUUUUACCUGCUGUAUGGCCGCGACCCCACCUUGCCCUUUGACAUGUUGCUACCUUCCGCAGUACAAUCACCCAGCACUGGUUACGCUCGCGAUGCUAUUGACUUAGCCGCCCAGGCCCGAGAAGUAGCCCAUUAUCGCCUCACAGUCUCGAAAGCUUCUCAAAAGCGAUGCUACGACCUUCGGCACCGAGACUCCCAUUUUUCACCUGGUUCCCUUGUCCUUCUCUGGACGCCUUCACGUCGCGUCGGCUUGUCGGAAAAACUACUGUGCCGUUAUUCUGGUCCGUACCAGAUCUUACACCAACUUUCCAACGUGACAUGCGAGAUCGCCCCAGUCGGUCAGCCUUCAGUGCCUUCCAACCUCAUUAGCGAUGUUGUUCACGUCGCCAGGCUGAAGCCCUAUGUCCCCCCAUUAAGUGAUGCCCUAUAACUUGCACCGGGACGGAGCUACCCCGCCGGGAAGGUGAUGUUACGGUGAAGGGAAGGAAGAAGUUGGAUUAGACUAGAUGAAGACGAAGUCUGGCAGUUGCCUGAAUGCCAUUAACAUCAGUUGUAAAUAUACAUUAUUUUACACUCGUG
This is a non-coding RNA of Dermacentor albipictus, 9922 nucleotides long. NCBI's taxonomy places the organism in Eukaryota, Metazoa, Arthropoda, Arachnida, Ixodida, Ixodidae. The record is from RefSeq and is a predicted model, not a curated record.